Molecule: ribosomal RNA, 446 nt
Filed under: uncultured bacterium
Lineage: Bacteria
Description: bacterial SSU rRNA
Rfam family: Bacterial small subunit ribosomal RNA
Source: RNAcentral
UCCCAGACUCCUACGGGAGGCAGCAGUGGGGAAUAUUGCACAAUGGGGGAAACCCUGAUGCAGCGACGCCGCGUGAGUGAAGAAGUAAUUCGUUAUGUAAAGCCCUGUCAGCAGGGAAGAAAAUGACGGUACCUGAAGAAGAAGCCCCGGCUAACUACGUGCCAGCAGCCGCGGUAAUACGUAGGGGGCAAGCGUUAUCCGGAUUUACUGGGUGUAAAGGGGGCGCAGACGGCGAUGCAAGCCAGGAGUGAAAGCCCGGGGCCCAACCCCGGGACUGCUCUUGGAACUGCGUGGCUGGAGUGCAGGAGGGGCAGGCGGAAUUCCUGGUGUAGCGGUGAAAUGCGUAGAUAUUAGGAGGAACACCAGUGGCGAAGGCGGCCUACUGGACGGUGACUGACGCUGAGGCUCGAAAGCGUGGGGAGCAAACAGGAUUAGAUACCCUAGUA